Molecule: non-coding RNA, 116 nt
Organism: Ceratotherium simum simum (southern white rhinoceros)
Lineage: Eukaryota; Metazoa; Chordata; Mammalia; Perissodactyla; Rhinocerotidae
Source: RefSeq, a predicted model, not a curated record
UCUGUUACAUUAUAAAAUUAUAUACAGUCAUGCACACCAUAAUGACAUUUCGGCCAAGGACAGACUGCAUGUAUGACGGUGGUCCCAGAAGAUCAGCACCGUAUAGCCUAGCUGUG